UUUAACUUUGCGAUCAAAAUAUACCUUAUCAAGAAGAAGUAGGUAAAUCAGGGAAGAAAUUGGAAUAAAAUAUAUUGCUGGAGUGGAAUUUAUUAAACUCAACGCCAAGACAAGACGGCUCAGACGGCUGUAGAAUUUAUGAACAGCUUCAAGGCUAAUACCCGAUUUGGAUGGAAAGCUGGAAAAUUUACGCUCAUUUGUGGACGCCUUAUCACUAGUUGAUACUAUCAAAGACUCUCAUAAAUCAGGGAAGAAAUCGGAAUAAAAUAUAUUGCUGGAGUGGAGCUUAUUAAACUCAACAUUAGAAACUGGAAAAAAAAUUAGAGAAAUUAUUAAUUCCAUUUUUACAGGCCAAGACAAGACGGCUGUAGAAUUUAUGAACAGCUUCAAGGCUAAUACCCGAUUUGGAUGGAAAGCUGGAAAAUUUGUGCUCAUUUGUGGACGCCUUAUCACUAGUUGAUACUAUCAAAGACUCUCAUGAAUCCGUCGCAGUAUAAGUUUUCAAGACUACAAUGAUGGGAAAUACUACAAACUUGAUAGGAGACGAGACGACAAUUCGACUAAUAAAAAUGUAAAAAAAAAUGUCAAUCUGAUGAAUAUUGACAAUAAAAUUUCGGGAAACUCGGACAUCCCCCUAAGAUUAGACCAGUAAAUAGAAAGUGCAUAAUAUCCGUCUUAACUUUAGCCUAUUUCUGUCUCUAAAAGUGUCGCCGAAUAGAAUGAGGUCAUUAUGGAAUUUUUGGGACACUUUAGAAAAUCAAAUGAUAUUUUUAUUGGAAAAACAUGACGAAAUAUGUAACAUGAUACAUUAAAGAAUGUUUGAAAUGUCAUACUGCUAAGACUACGAAACAUUUGAAAACUCAGUACCAAGGACAGAACAAAGCCGAUUUGUGACAAAACUGUCGCUAAGGCGACAUUUGAGCACUUUAAUCUCACCUAUAGUCCAAUGAAGACGUUCAUUUCGGGCAUGAGGACAGAGUACAAGAAUACCCUACUAAUGGAGAUAUGUGAUCCACUAAAAAUUGAGAAAUAAACAUCUACAGCUUAUCACCAUCAGACACUAGGUACAAUCGAAAGAAGUCACAGAACUUGUAUGCUAUGUAUACUUGUAUGCAAUAAGUAGAAAUAUGUAGAUGUAAGAAUAUGUAUUUAUGUAUAACUCUUAGAAAUGCAUUGAUUUUGGAAAUCAUUGAUUAAUGCUGAUCGAGCCAAUUCUGGCUAUAAAUUUGCUGGUU
Molecule: long non-coding RNA, 1235 nt
Organism: Stomoxys calcitrans (stable fly)
Lineage: Eukaryota; Metazoa; Arthropoda; Insecta; Diptera; Muscidae
Exons: 3
Source: RefSeq, a predicted model, not a curated record